AUCGGUGUUGGAGAACUCCAGCCCUGUUCCUGCGUGAGAUCAGACCUGCUGGAGGAGAAGAAGCAGCUGUGGCUCGGCGUCUGUCAUCGCUUUAAAAAACUUUCCUCCAGUUUGUAGAUCGCUUGACCCAUGCCGGUUUUUGACUAUGAUUCUACCUAUCCUUAUGGAUUUGUCUGGCUGCAUCUCAUUAAAGCUUUUAACUGCACUUGCAUCCGUCUCCACCCUGUUUACACGACGCAUGUGCGUAUCUGGCUUCAACAAAACCCUGCAGCUAAUUUACGACCUUCACAACUAGUUCCAGAAACGAUACAUUAUCCACUGAAGACCUUUCGGGGAAAAGCUUCACUUUCCCAACAUGCAUCACUUCAGGCUGGAGGGAUUACUCAUUAUUCAUACUGUUAUCAAUGCCUUGCAUUUUCUCUAAAACAAAAACAUUGAAAUACGAGGACUCGAGGAAUUUGAUACAACAUGUUUUCAUGUAUUUUUAUUGUUUUACUUUAUAACACACCUCAGCAGGUAAUCGGAAUCCUGAAAGGUGCAUUUCAUGAGACCAGGAUUGCUCUCUAAACAUGCAUUAUAGGAAGGGUUCUUCUUGUUAUGACAACACCAGUUUGUCAAAAGCUUUCUGUUGACAUCCAUUGAUUUCGGCCCAGCUUUGAGUAAUAAAGCUAAGCCUAGGGCUCCGAGUGCCGGAGCUAAACAGGUGCUCACCUUAGUGUUGGACUAUUGCAAGUUUGAAUCCUGAUUGUGGCCUUGGGCAAGACAGCAAAACUGCCCUAAACUCAGGGUAGGAAGGACGGCCUAUUUCCUCCCCUGUCAUGCAGAGUGACACCAGCCAGUUACCAGUGUCUGUUAGCUCAUGUAUAUCGAAUAACUCUGUUAGUGCUCUGCUUGGUGAUGAAAAGAUGUUUUGAUUGGCUUCUCAUAUCUUCCAGGAAGCAAGUUAGCCUUCAUUGUCCCAGAUUUGUAGCUGAUGUGUUGCACCAUAUCAACGGCUAUGUUCACACGCACAUCGAAUUCUGUUCAAGGUCUAUAUUCGCGUAGCCGUUGAUUUUUUAAUCCGUUUAUGUGGAGCGUCCGCCAUACACCCACCUGUGAACGAGCUGUUACUAUAGAAACGCUAAGAUAUCAGAACGAGCGCGUUAAUAUAAACCUGUGAUUUGUCGUCAUUUCAGAUUCUAAUCAACACCUUCUGACCAAUCAGAAUCCCGAAUUCAUCGUGGUACUGUUUUGACAUCUGACUUGACUAAAACUAUUUUGACCAUCAGAGCAUAAAGGUGUACAAAUAAUGACAUCAUAAGACUUGAGCGACAGUGAGAUGUUUUUUUCCCAGAAGGCCAAGGGGUCGGGUGAAAAAUGUGGAGAGAAAUGUAUCAUAUUAGAUGUUUUUUAUUGAUUUUCAUUUUGAUCAUUUCACUGCAGCAAUGAAGAAAAUGUCUGAGGCAUUUUGUCCGGGGAAUCUUGUGUAUUUUUGAUCUCCAUUCCUCAAGAGGCAACACCAGUAAGGACGCUGUAGCUGAACACACUGCGGUGGUCCCACUGAUCUCACACACCACACACAAUGACUGCUACACUAACAUAAUUACACAAAAGCACGGUUUCCUUAGUUAUCAAUGCUUUAUAUUCACCCUCCGGUUCCUGGCAUGCAGACUCGUUGUUAAUGUGUGUGUGUGUGUGUGUGUGUGUGUGUGUGUAGAUCUCACACCUGCCUGCUGUUUCCUCAUAAACCACCCUGGAACCCUGUGCUGGACCGAGCAGGUGAUUUACGACUUUAAUUAGAGAUACCGAAUCUGUCAGGACAGGCUUUAACACAGCACUGUAUAAACCUUUAUGCUGUUUAACACCAUGGCUUCCGCAGUGUUAACGCUCUCAGACCUGCCGCUCUGCCGGGGGACAGAGUUCCACGUUACGUAAGCGUCUUUGCACGAGUUUUGUUUCAUGUAUCAGGCUAAUUAGUACGCAUUUUCUUAUGCCAUUACCCUAUCAAAGUUUGGUUGCCAAGGGUUACUCAAGUAGUUUGAUUUUUUUUUAAAGAACUGGGCGUGGCUGUGAUUAACAGUCUAUCAUUUACAUUCAACCGCUAAGGUGAUGGAGACAAAAAAUGAUGGAGGUGUGUGUUCUUCUGCACAGACAGGAACAAGACGUGGCUUCUGUUAAGGAAGUGCUAGACAUGCAUGCACACACACACACACACACA
Molecule: long non-coding RNA, 2197 nt
Organism: Ictalurus punctatus (channel catfish)
Lineage: Eukaryota; Metazoa; Chordata; Actinopteri; Siluriformes; Ictaluridae
Exons: 3
Source: RefSeq, a predicted model, not a curated record